GUGCCAGCCGCCGCGGUAAUACAGAGGUCUCGAGCGUUAGGCGGAAUCACUGGGCUUAAAGCGUGUGUAGGCGGAUCGGUAAGUACCUUGUGAAAUCCCACAGCUUAACUGUGGAACUGCUUGGUAUACUGCCAGUCUUGAGCCAGCUAGGGGCUACCGGAACAAAUGGUGGAGCGGUGAAAUGCGUAGAUAUCAUUUGGAACGCCAAUGGUGAAAACAGGUAGCUGGGGCUGUGCUGACGCUGAGACACGAAAGCCAGGGGAGCAAACGGGAUUAGAAACCCUAGUAGUCC
This 292-nucleotide ribosomal RNA is filed under the name uncultured bacterium. Its description in RNAcentral is "partial 16S ribosomal RNA". It matches the Rfam family "Bacterial small subunit ribosomal RNA", at positions 505 to 796 of the family's 1533-position model. The record is from RNAcentral.